This 467-nucleotide long non-coding RNA is filed under the name Elaeis guineensis (African oil palm). RNAcentral describes it as "long non-coding RNA (EGUI_LNC080012)". Lineage: Eukaryota; Viridiplantae; Streptophyta; Magnoliopsida; Arecales; Arecaceae. The record is from RNAcentral.
CCUUUUGACCCCUGUGUUUAGGAUGACUCAGGGUUAAACUGUCAACCCUGAUGAUAUCAUCCGAAUCAUGCUCAACUCAAUUAGUCCUGUGACUUCUCACUAGGACUACCCUGGCCAAGGUUUUGCUAAAUUGAAACACGACUGUACACAGCUCCUAAACUGGAGUGGUCAAUCCCAUCUUGACACACGCACCGACAAGUCAAGUACUUGACUACACCCAGCAGCCUUCCAUCACUGAAUUAAAAAUUCAGGUAGUCCAGUGCCUAAGUGCAGUGAGUUGCUUGCAAGUCACCAUGGCGGUCUCAGGUCAGAGGGACAUUUAUAUCCAUAUCCCAUCGGAGCAAAUCUUGACAGCAGAAAUAGCUCCGGAGUCGGUCACGUUCAGUGCAGAUGUACCAUUACAUCUCAUCUGUAUGCCAUACCAGUGUCUCCACACUCUUUGGUUAUGAGGACAACCAACCCAUAUG